ACUGUCCUUAUCUGAGGGAAGCUUGACAAGUCAAUGAUCUAUUGUGAGCCUUGUUCUGCUGACACCCUUUCAUACAACAUUACUGGGCGCCUGCUUGCGGGUUGUCCAAAUUUUUGGAAGC
Small nuclear RNA from Halichondria panicea, 121 nucleotides. RefSeq annotates it as U4atac minor spliceosomal RNA. The record is from RefSeq and is a predicted model, not a curated record. Lineage: Eukaryota; Metazoa; Porifera; Demospongiae; Suberitida; Halichondriidae. The transcript has a single exon.